RNAcentral lists this ribosomal RNA (429 nucleotides) under Bacteroidota bacterium. RNAcentral's name for it is "Bacteroidetes bacterium partial 16S ribosomal RNA". It matches the Rfam family "Bacterial small subunit ribosomal RNA", at positions 355 to 776 of the family's 1533-position model. The record is from RNAcentral. Lineage: Bacteria; Pseudomonadati; Bacteroidota.
UAGGGAAUCUUCGGCAAUGGGGGGAACCCUGACCGAGCAACGCCGCGUGAGUGAAGAAGGUUUUCGGAUCGUAAAGCUCUGUUGUUAAGGAAGAACGAGUGUGAGAAUGGAAAGUUCAUGCUGUGACGGUACUUAACCAGAAAGGGACGGCUAACUACGUGCCAGCAGCCGCGGUAAUACGUAGGUCCCGAGCGUUGUCCGGAUUUAUUGGGCGUAAAGCGAGCGCAGGCGGUUAGAAAAGUCUGAAGUGAAAGGCAGUGGCUCAACCAUUGUAGGCUUUGGAAACUGUUAAACUUGAGUGCAGAAGGUGAGAGUGGAAUUCCAUGUGUAGCGGUGAAAUGCGUAGAUAUAUGGAGGAACACCGGUGGCGAAAGCGGCUCUCUGGUCUGUAACUGACGCUGAGGCUCGAAAGCGUGGGGAGCGAACAGG